Molecule: non-coding RNA, 340 nt
Organism: Anolis sagrei ordinatus
Lineage: Eukaryota; Metazoa; Chordata; Lepidosauria; Squamata; Anolidae
Source: RefSeq, a predicted model, not a curated record
UACACUCGCCACAGAAUAAAACCUCUUGCAGAGUGCACUGCUCAACAAAGAAUAGUUGAUCCACCCCACCAGAAGACUGUUGGUGAAUUUCUCACCUUAAAAGUUGAGCCCCUCUUUUUGAUAAUUUGAACCCAACCGCCUGACGAAGACUCUUGUGAGUCGAAACCGGUAGCAGGUUGGAAUCAUUUCAUUUGACUACUGGAGUCUACUCACAUGUAAUAAAGAAAGGACAUUUUCUCGAACGAAGACUUUGCUUUAUACUUCAAGAGAAGAACCUAUUGUUUCUACUUAUAUGUAUGUGGCAGUUUUUGAUAUGUAUAUUUGUAAUGUAUACAUUGAG